UACGUACCGUACGAACGUUAUUCGGAAUCACUGGGCUUAAAGGGCGCGUAGGCGGGCUGUCAAGUCUGGGGUGAAAUCCCGCGGCUCAACCGUGGAACUGCCUCAGAUACUGACGGCCUCGAGGGAGAUAGGGGCGAGCGGAACUAAUGGUGGAGCGGUGAAAUGCGUUGAUAUCAUUAGGAACUCCGGUGGCGAAGGCGGCUCGCUGGAUCUUUUCUGACGCUGAGGCGCGAAAGCUAGGGGAGCAAACGGG
RNAcentral lists this ribosomal RNA (253 nucleotides) under uncultured bacterium. Its description in RNAcentral is "partial 16S ribosomal RNA". It matches the Rfam family "Bacterial small subunit ribosomal RNA", at positions 524 to 776 of the family's 1533-position model. The record is from RNAcentral.